This is a long non-coding RNA of Gallus gallus (chicken), 1636 nucleotides long. The record is from Ensembl. Lineage: Eukaryota; Metazoa; Chordata; Aves; Galliformes; Phasianidae.
CUUCUUGCAAUAUGAAAUUAUGGAUUUUAAGCAAAAGGCCAACACCUUAAAUUUACUCUUCAUGUCAAAACCUCAGCUUUAGUUUAGGCAAGCUUCUAGUCUGCAAUUUAAACACAUUUUUCACUUCUUAGAGUCAUAGAACCAUUAAGGUUGGAAAAGACCUCUAAGAUCUAUUCCAAUCAUCUGCCUUCCACAAAUAUUGCCUACUAACUACAUCCCUCAGUGCCACAACUACACAGUUCUGGAACACCUCCAGGGAUGGUGACUCUACCACCUCCAUGGGCAGCCUGUGCCAGCACCACUCUUACAGACAAGAAAUUCUUCCUAAAAUCCAACCUGAACCUCCCCUCGUGCCACUUGAUGCCACUACCCUUCAUCCUAUUCUUGGAGAAGGAGAAACUGCUUACAAACUGACAUCAACAACUAAAAAAACCCAGAAACAGAAAAUGAAUUAAAGAAAUAUCUUUUCAGAUUUAUAACAUUUUAAAUCCUCCGUUUUAUUUUACAACAGUAUUGUGAAGAAGUGUUCCUAUAUAUUUUCUCUUGGAGAACUAAAUAUGAUUAUCCUUCUCUCCCUUUUGACUUUCCAUUUGGUGGGCUGAGGAUUGCUGCAGCUUCACUCAGCAUGUUUUGAUACAGCUGGAUGAGGAAUCAUGUGGACUUAUUUUUCCUUCUUGGUCAUUACUGGCAGUGAGUUGGCACUUAGUGAUGGUGAACUCUGUACUAACUUCUGCCACAGAGAAUCAGAGACAUUUGGCAGAAUCACCAAGGUUGGAAAAGACCUCCAAGAUCCUCUAGUCCAACUAUCCACCUACAACUGCUGGGUGAGAACAGGCAAUAAUUUGAAUUGUAUGAGGUUAACUGCUAGACAAUAACACAUGUAAUCAUUACUAUGGUUGUUAUAUGCCUUGUCAAUGGUAUUACAGUAAGAAUCACCCAGACUAAAGAAGAAAGAGUUCUGAUGGAAGCAGAACUAACUUCAGCAAGCAGUAAUCCAACACCAUGCAUCACCCCUUUCACACUGAAGGACUGUUAUAACAAGAUGGUGUCGAAAGUCAUAGACUAAAUUAACUCCAUGUACAAUUUACUGGGAUGGCCUCCCACUGGGAGGGGGAAGGGAAGUAAGCAAAAGGCUGCUUGGUGUUAAGCUGCUUGCUGGGUUAAACCACAACAGCACAUUGGAAGAAACAUACUAUCACAUGCAGUCAGCUGAAUUUACCCAGAGCUGGAAUGAGACAGGAAAAAAAAACCAUCAUUAUGGUGGUGUACGCAUCUGAGGCCAGUAACACCAAGCCAGACUAGGGGUCCCAACACUGAGGAAGCCCUUCGUGUUGAUACCUCCAGCCACAGGAAAAGGCAGUGCCUGCUUAAGUCCAGAAAGUAAAACAUUUCUGCAUUAUGGGAAGGUUUGCCCAUAGGAAAACCGAUUUGAACUCCAGAUGACAGAACUGCCUGUUCAGUAAGUCAGGAUCAAGGGCAAUGCUGUUAUCCUUCAUGUCCACUGUGACCCUCACAUUAGGACCUCCAGUCUCAGGGCAGGAUGAAGAAUAAAACUGAAUGCUAAUACUCUAAAAUGAAGUGAAAAAUCAUUUAAAAAUUCAACAUUUUCUUUUUCCUUGCCCUGCUAGCCUUCCCC